AUGGGGCCUCGUCGAGACGGCGUCCGCUUCAUCUCCUCCGGCGUCAAGCUCCCGCGCGCCUCCCCGGCCCCGGCGCAUGCCCUGCUCUCCGCCGCGCUACCCCCGUUCGCGCACAUCGGCCGGGCCAUCAACGCCGCGGCCCGCCGCGUCGCCGCUUCGUUCCCCCGCGUCCCAGCCGCGCGGGCCGAGACGCCGGCCGCGCCGUUGCCGCGGAGGCACGGGAAGGACAGCGGCGGGGCCGGGGGCGAGGAGCGGGUUCUAAUCAGCGAGGUGGCGGUGCGCGGAAAGGACGGGGAGCCCCUGGAGAGGCCCGAGCUGGAGGAGGCGGCCGCCGGGGCCCUGCGAGCGUGCCGCCCCAACGCGGCGCUUACGGUGAGGGAGGUGCAGGAGGAUGUGCACCGCGUGGUGGAGAGCGGCCUCUUCCGCUCCUGCAUGCCCGUUGCCGUCGACACCCGCGACGGCAUUCGCCUCGUCUUUGAGGUGGAGCCGAACCAGGACUUCCACGGGCUGGUCUGUGAGGGUGCCAACAUGCUGCCUUCCAAGUUCCUAGAUGACUCAUUUCGCGACCACCAUGGUAAAAUAAUCAACAUAAGACAUUUAGAUCAAGUGAUUAAGUCCAUUAAUGGAUGGUAUCAGGAGCGCGGUCUUACUGGCAUGGUUUCGUAUGCUGAGAUCCUUUCUGGAGGAAUUCUAAGGCUACAAGUUUCUGAAGCUGAGGUUAAUAAUAUCAAUAUUCGCUUUCUGGACAGAAGAACUGGUGAACCAACUACUGGAAAAACAAAACCAGAAACCAUACUCCAGCAGCUUACCACCAAGAAGGGUCAGGCAUACAAUAGAGCACAAGUGAAAAGAGAUGUUGAAACAAUACUCACUAUGGGAAUUAUGGAGGAUGUCACAAUAAUUCCGCAGCCCGUGGGAGAUUCUAAUAAAGUGGAUCUUGUCAUGAAUCUUGUCGAACGCAAAUCUGGUGGUUUCUCUGCUGGUGGUGGCAUUUCGAGUGGGAUAACAAAUGGGCCUCUUUCUGGAUUGAUUGGCAGCUUUGCAUAUUCUCAGCGGAAUGUUUUUGGAAGGAACAAGAAGUUGAAUCUCUCACUAGAGAGGGGCCAAAUAGAUUCUAUAUUUCGUUUAAACUACACUGACCCUUGGAUUGACGGUGACAAUAAGAGGACCUCCAGAACUGUCAUGGUUCAGAACUCUAGGACCCCUGGAACACUUAUCCAUGGUGGGGAGCAUCCUGACCAUAGUCCUAUUACAAUUGGACGGGUAACUGCUGGCAUUGAAUAUAGUCGACCUUUCAGGCCUAAAUGGAGUGGUACUCUUGGAUUGAUAUUUCAGCAUGCUGGUGCUCGUGAUGACAAAGGCAACCCUAUGAUCAGAGAUUUCUAUAACAGCCAAUUAACUGCAAGCGGCAAUCCUUAUGAUGACACGUUACUUGCUAAGCUUGAAAGUGUCUACACAGACUCUGGAGACCAUAGCUCUACAAUGUUUGUUUUCAACGUCGAGCAAGGUCUGCCCAUUCUUCCGGAGUGGCUUAGUUUCAACAGAGUGACAGCCCGUUUGAGACAGAGCUAUGAAAUUGGUCCUGCCCGACUUCUUCUAAGUGCUUCUGGAGGUCAUGUGGAGGGGAACUUUUCGCCUCAUGAAGCAUUUGCAAUUGGUGGGACAAACAGUGUAAGAGGAUAUGAAGAAGGUGCUGUUGGUUCUGGCCGCUCAUAUGCAGUUGGUAGUGGUGAAGUCUCUUGCCGCUUGUUUGGUCCCUUGGAAGGUGUUGUCUUUGGUGACUAUGGUAGUGAUCUUGGCUCUGGUCCAACGGUUCCUGGUGACCCAGCAGGGGCCCGUGGGAAGCCAGGAAGCGGCUACGGGUAUGGUGUUGGUAUCCGUGUGGACUCCCCACUGGGACCUUUGAGACUUGAAUACGCUUUCAAUGACAAACAAGCAAGACGAUUUCACUUUGGUGUUGGGCACAGAAAUUAA
Molecule: ribosomal RNA, 1974 nt
Filed under: Triticum aestivum (bread wheat)
Lineage: Eukaryota; Viridiplantae; Streptophyta; Magnoliopsida; Poales; Poaceae
Description: partial small subunit ribosomal RNA
Source: RNAcentral